AGAGGGAAGAAUCAACUCCCCAUCAUGGAAAAUAAAAUGUUCAGCUGGGCAAUAAUGAAGCAAAUGAGUAAUGCCCAGAAGACACUACAGAGAAUGUCUACUGGGGACUACAAACAGCCAUCAGUAUGGUGGAUUUGCAGAAGAAACUGCCCUAAGCUGUGUGUUAAAGGUGGAUGGGAAACCGGAGGAGGGCAUGGAAGGACAGGCCAGCUUCAGAGAAGGAUUUUCCCUCUUGCCCAGGAAACCCUUGGAAAUGGAUCCGCCCUCUAGCGGUUAACAAGGGAGCUGAGGAAUAAUGGGAUUUGACAUCAUUGGAAAGCACAGCCACACCCAAAAACAGGUGUGUGCACAAGAAUUUCUGAACACAGAUUUUACCAGCUACACCCACACCCUCAAUUCUACUUGAAAUUAAUCUUAAAGAAAUUUUGAAUUUGCUGAUAAUUUGAGAUCAGUAAAGAUUUUCCCUGAAAGUUCUAAGGACUUCGCUUGGGGUUUUGGAUUGGAUUCCAGAGGUUGGCACCUACGCUCUAAAAAAUCUAAACAGAAGGAGAAAAUAAAUCACCAACUGGCACUUUAAAGACAAAGAUUUAUACCAGAUUUAAUAAACUUCCUGUCUUGCUGA
Molecule: long non-coding RNA, 622 nt
Organism: Homo sapiens (human)
Lineage: Eukaryota; Metazoa; Chordata; Mammalia; Primates; Hominidae
Exons: 4
Source: RefSeq, a predicted model, not a curated record